GGUCUAAUAGUGUAGAGGUUAUCACAUGGGAUUUUGACAACGGUACUUCCCAUAACCCAGGUUCGAGUCCUGGUUAGACCU
Lentinula edodes (shiitake mushroom) is the source of this 81-nucleotide non-coding RNA. Lineage: Eukaryota; Fungi; Basidiomycota; Agaricomycetes; Agaricales; Omphalotaceae. The record is from Rfam.